This 722-nucleotide ribosomal RNA is filed under the name Enterococcus faecium. RNAcentral describes it as "bacterial SSU rRNA". It matches the Rfam family "Bacterial small subunit ribosomal RNA", at positions 819 to 1533 of the family's 1533-position model. The record is from RNAcentral. Lineage: Bacteria; Bacillati; Bacillota; Bacilli; Lactobacillales; Enterococcaceae.
AGUGUUGGAGGGUUUCCGCCCUUCAGUGCUGCAGCUAACGCAUUAAGCACUCCGCCUGGGGAGUACGACCGCAAGGUUGAAACUCAAAGGAAUUGACGGGGGCCCGCACAAGCGGUGGAGCAUGUGGUUUAAUUCGAAGCAACGCGAAGAACCUUACCAGGUCUUGACAUCCUUUGACCACUCUAGAGAUAGAGCUUCCCCUUCGGGGGCAAAGUGACAGGUGGUGCAUGGUUGUCGUCAGCUCGUGUCGUGAGAUGUUGGGUUAAGUCCCGCAACGAGCGCAACCCUUAUUGUUAGUUGCCAUCAUUCAGUUGGGCACUCUAGCAAGACUGCCGGUGACAAACCGGAGGAAGGUGGGGAUGACGUCAAAUCAUCAUGCCCCUUAUGACCUGGGCUACACACGUGCUACAAUGGGAAGUACAACGAGUCGCGAAGUCGCGAGGCUAAGCUAAUCUCUUAAAGCUUCUCUCAGUUCGGAUUGCAGGCUGCAACUCGCCUGCAUGAAGCCGGAAUCGCUAGUAAUCGCGGAUCAGCACGCCGCGGUGAAUACGUUCCCGGGCCUUGUACACACCGCCCGUCACACCACGAGAGUUUGUAACACCCGAAGUCGGUGAGGUAACCUUUUGGAGCCAGCCGCCUAAGGUGGGAUAGAUGAUUGGGGUGAAGUCGUAACAAGGUAGCCGUAUCGGAAGGUGCGGCUGGAUCACCUCCUUUCUAAGGAA